RNAcentral lists this ribosomal RNA (2316 nucleotides) under Salmonella enterica subsp. enterica serovar Infantis. RNAcentral's name for it is "bacterial LSU rRNA". It matches the Rfam family "Bacterial large subunit ribosomal RNA", at positions 594 to 2812 of the family's 2925-position model. The record is from RNAcentral. Lineage: Bacteria; Pseudomonadati; Pseudomonadota; Gammaproteobacteria; Enterobacterales; Enterobacteriaceae.
UGACUGCGUACCUUUUGUAUAAUGGGUCAGCGACUUAUAUUCUGUAGCAAGGUUAACCGAAUAGGGGAGCCGGAGGGAAACCGAGUCUUAAUUGGGCGUUAAGUUGCAGGGUAUAGACCCGAAACCCGGUGAUCUAGCCAUGGGCAGGUUGAAGGUUGGGUAACACUAACUGGAGGACCGAACCGACUAAUGUUGAAAAAUUAGCGGAUGACCUGUGGCUGGGGGUGAAAGGCCAAUCAAACCGGGAGAUAGCUGGUUCUCCCCGAAAGCUAUUUAGGUAGCGCCUCGUGAAUUCAUCUCCGGGGGUAGAGCACUGUUUCGGCUAGGGGGCCAUCCCGGCUUACCAACCCGAUGCAAACUGCGAAUACCGGAGAAUGUUAUCACGGGAGACACACGGCGGGUGCUAACGUCCGUCGUGAAGAGGGAAACAACCCAGACCGCCAGCUAAGGUCCCAAAGUCAUGGUUAAGUGGGAAACGAUGUGGGAAGGCCCAGACAGCCAGGAUGUUGGCUUAGAAGCAGCCAUCAUUUAAAGAAAGCGUAAUAGCUCACUGGUCGAGUCGGCCUGCGCGGAAGAUGUAACGGGGCUAAACCAUGCACCGAAGCUGCGGCAGCGAACGUAUCACUUAAAGCGAUUCAGCGGGUUACGAUUGACGGAGCGAAGCGACGUCAAAGCGUAUACAAAGUCGAGUCGGUUUAAGGAUACGUUCGUUGGGUAGGGGAGCGUUCUGUAAGCCUGCGAAGGUGGCCUGUGAGGGUUGCUGGAGGUAUCAGAAGUGCGAAUGCUGACAUAAGUAACGAUAAAGCGGGUGAAAAGCCCGCUCGCCGGAAGACCAAGGGUUCCUGUCCAACGUUAAUCGGGGCAGGGUGAGUCGACCCCUAAGGCGAGGCCGAAAGGCGUAGUCGAUGGGAAACGGGUUAAUAUUCCCGUACUUGGUGUUACUGCGAAGGGGGGACGGAGAAGGCUAUGUUGGCCGGGCGACGGUUGUCCCGGUUUAAGCGUGUAGGUGUGUGUUCCAGGUAAAUCCGGUUCACUUUAACACUGAGGCGUGAUGACGAGGCACUACGGUGCUGAAGCAACAAAUGCCCUGCUUCCAGGAAAAGCCUCUAAGCAUCAGGUAACAUCAAAUCGUACCCCAAACCGACACAGGUGGUCAGGUAGAGAAUACCAAGGCGCUUGAGAGAACUCGGGUGAAGGAACUAGGCAAAAUGGUGCCGUAACUUCGGGAGAAGGCACGCUGACAUGUAGGUGAAGUGAUUUACUCAUGGAGCUGAAGUCAGUCGAAGAUACCAGCUGGCUGCAACUGUUUAUUAAAAACACAGCACUGUGCAAACACGAAAGUGGACGUAUACGGUGUGACGCCUGCCCGGUGCCGGAAGGUUAAUUGAUGGGGUCAGCGCAAGCGAAGCUCCUGAUCGAAGCCCCGGUAAACGGCGGCCGUAACUAUAACGGUCCUAAGGUAGCGAAAUUCCUUGUCGGGUAAGUUCCGACCUGCACGAAUGGCGUAAUGAUGGCCAGGCUGUCUCCACCCGAGACUCAGUGAAAUUGAACUCGCUGUGAAGAUGCAGUGUACCCGCGGCAAGACGGAAAGACCCCGUGAACCUUUACUAUAGCUUGACACUGAACAUUGAGCCUUGAUGUGUAGGAUAGGUGGGAGGCUUUGAAGCGUGGACGCCAGUCUGCGUGGAGCCGACCUUGAAAUACCACCCUUUAAUGUUUGAUGUUCUAACGUGGACCCGUAAUCCGGGUUGCGGACAGUGUCUGGUGGGUAGUUUGACUGGGGCGGUCUCCUCCUAAAGAGUAACGGAGGAGCACGAAGGUUGGCUAAUCCUGGUCGGACAUCAGGAGGUUAGUGCAAUGGCAUAAGCCAGCUUGACUGCGAGCGUGACGGCGCGAGCAGGUGCGAAAGCAGGUCAUAGUGAUCCGGUGGUUCUGAAUGGAAGGGCCAUCGCUCAACGGAUAAAAGGUACUCCGGGGAUAACAGGCUGAUACCGCCCAAGAGUUCAUAUCGACGGCGGUGUUUGGCACCUCGAUGUCGGCUCAUCACAUCCUGGGGCUGAAGUAGGUCCCAAGGGUAUGGCUGUUCGCCAUUUAAAGUGGUACGCGAGCUGGGUUUAGAACGUCGUGAGACAGUUCGGUCCCUAUCUGCCGUGGGCGCUGGAGAACUGAGGGGGGCUGCUCCUAGUACGAGAGGACCGGAGUGGACGCAUCACUGGUGUUCGGGUUGUCAUGCCAAUGGCACUGCCCGGUAGCUAAAUGCGGAAGAGAUAAGUGCUGAAAGCAUCUAAGCACGAAACUUGCCCCGAGAUGAGUUCU